This 301-nucleotide ribosomal RNA is filed under the name uncultured bacterium. RNAcentral describes it as "partial 16S ribosomal RNA". It matches the Rfam family "Bacterial small subunit ribosomal RNA", at positions 509 to 807 of the family's 1533-position model. The record is from RNAcentral.
CAGUAGCCGCGGGAAUACGGAGGGUGCAAGCGUUAUCCGGAUUUAUUGGGUUUAAAGGGUCCGUAGGCGGACUUAUAAGUCAGUGGUGAAAGCCUGUCGCUUAACGAUAGAACUGCCAUUGAUACUGUAAGUCUUGAGUAUAUUUGAGGUAGCUGGAAUAAGUAGUGUAUCGGUGAAAUGCAUAGAUAUUACUUAGAACACCAAUUGCGAAGGCAGGUUACCAAGAUAUAACUGACGCUGAGGGACGAAAGCGUGGGUAGCGAACAGGAUUAGAUACCCGGGUAGUCCCUGUCUCUUAUAC